This 68-nucleotide transfer RNA is filed under the name Marmota monax (woodchuck). RNAcentral's name for it is "tRNA.Ala". It matches the Rfam family "tRNA", at positions 6 to 65 of the family's 71-position model. Rfam says of the family: Transfer RNA (tRNA) molecules are approximately 80 nucleotides in length. Their secondary structure includes four short double-helical elements and three loops (D, anti-codon, and T loops). The record is from RNAcentral. Lineage: Eukaryota; Metazoa; Chordata; Mammalia; Rodentia; Sciuridae.
GGAUGUGGCUCAAGUGGUAGAGCGCUCGCCUGGCAUGCGUGAGUCACUGGGUUCGAUCCUCAGCACCA